Long non-coding RNA from Micropterus dolomieu (smallmouth bass), 890 nucleotides. RefSeq lists it as uncharacterized. The record is from RefSeq and is a predicted model, not a curated record. NCBI's taxonomy places the organism in Eukaryota, Metazoa, Chordata, Actinopteri, Centrarchiformes, Centrarchidae. The transcript is spliced from 3 exons.
ACACAGGAAGUCGUCGUAACUUAACUGUACAUGCUGAAAUCUGUACCAAUCUUUGCAUGCUUGAUAACUGUCCUGCCGAGAAUACAUCCACGCGGCAAUAUUCAUUUGUAGUCGUAGCGCCAAGUGCUCUGCGGCGCCACAAAGGAGACAUAGGAAGUGACGUAUAACACCUUCAUGCAGGUUCCGAAGCGCAUAGGAAAUUCACAGCCGUGCUGGCAGAGCUCCAGAAUCUGCAACGCGGCUGUCUCACUGCUCAACGUGCUACAAGUGCGAGGGCCCGCCCAAUGCUGCUUGCAGCUUGAAAUGCGUUAUGAACUUCCAAGCUCAAUAAAAUGGAUCCCUGGCACAAACAGCAAGCAAACCGUGUGCUGAUAGUUGCAAUAAAAGGGAGUAGGCCAAUCUACUGGUCGGGCUACUGCUCUCCUUUGCAACGAUGGAGUCACAGGGAAUGAGAUGAGAUCCACGCCUUCUGAGUUGUCUAAAAAACACCUGAGAACAGUCACCUGAGAAUGACGCCUAAGGAGGACCCUCUCUGGGAGUACAUUACCCAAUACAAGCGCUGCAGUCGACUGACUUAGAAGGAAAACAACAUAAAGAGAGGAGGAACCAUAUGAGUUCAACAAGUUCGAGGAGAAUUCUUGACAUUCUAGCAGAGCCUGUUAUGGAACAGCUCACCUUGUUGCUUUGACCUACAGGGAAAAGAGGUCACAUAACGCUGUAAACAGAGCACGGUGCCUCAACUGAAAAACAUCUCAUGCCUCAGGGAAGCUUGCAAAUGUUUACAGGGGGACUAUAAGUCACACUGACUGUCUGAAACAUGUAAACUGAAUAGCAUACACGAAAUAAAACACAGCCUUGAAAAUAAACGAGUUAAACCGUAACAAUGAAAG